CCUACGGGGGGCAGCAGUGGGGAAUAUUGCACAAUGGGCGCAAGCCUGAUGCAGCCAUGCCGCGUGUGUGAAGAAGGCCUUCGGGUUGUAAAGCACUUUCAGCGGGGAGGAAGGCGGUGAGGUUAAUAACCUCAUCGAUUGACGUUACCCGCAGAAGAAGCACCGGCUAACUCCGUGCCAGCACGCCGCGGUAAUACGGAGGGUGCAAGCGUUAAUCGGAAUUACUGGGCGUAAAGCGCACGCAGGCGGUCUGUCAAGUCGGAUGUGAAAUCCCCGGGCUCAACCUGGGAACUGCAUUCGAAACUGGCAGGCUAGAGUCUUGUAGAGGGGGGUAGAAUUCCAGGUGUAGCGGUGAAAUGCGUAGAGAUCUGGAGGAAUACCGGUGGCGAAGGCGGCCCCCUGGACAAAGACUGACGCUCAGGUGCGAAAGCGUGGGGAGCAAACAGGAUUAGAUACCCCUGUAGUC
This 466-nucleotide ribosomal RNA is filed under the name uncultured Klebsiella sp. RNAcentral's name for it is "bacterial SSU rRNA". It matches the Rfam family "Bacterial small subunit ribosomal RNA", at positions 338 to 795 of the family's 1533-position model. The record is from RNAcentral. Lineage: Bacteria; Pseudomonadati; Pseudomonadota; Gammaproteobacteria; Enterobacterales; Enterobacteriaceae.